This 253-nucleotide ribosomal RNA is filed under the name uncultured archaeon. Its description in RNAcentral is "partial 16S ribosomal RNA". It matches the Rfam family "Archaeal small subunit ribosomal RNA", at positions 474 to 726 of the family's 1478-position model. The record is from RNAcentral.
UCCCGACGGUCCGAGUCGCAGCCACAAUUAUUGGGUCUAAAACAUUCGUAGCUUGUUUUGUAAGUCUCUUGUGAAAUUUUAAAUCUUAAGUUUAAAGCGUGCAAGAGAUACUACUUAACUUGAGACUGGAAGAAGCAAGAAGUAUGGCUGAGGUAGUGGUAAAAUAUGUUAAUCUUGGCCAGACUAACAACAGCGAAGGCAUCUUGCUAGUACAGAUCUGACAGUGAGGAAUGAAGGCUAGGGUCGCGAAACG